This 114-nucleotide ribosomal RNA is filed under the name Passalora leptophlebiae. RNAcentral's name for it is "partial 18S ribosomal RNA". It matches the Rfam family "Eukaryotic small subunit ribosomal RNA", at positions 1719 to 1830 of the family's 1831-position model. Lineage: Eukaryota; Fungi; Ascomycota; Dothideomycetes; Mycosphaerellales; Mycosphaerellaceae. The record is from RNAcentral.
CCCAGGGAGGUCGGCAACGACCACCCAGGGCCGGAAAGUUGGUCAAACUCGGUCAUUUAGAGGAAGUAAAAGUCGUAACAAGGUCUCCGUAGGUGAACCUGCGGAGGGAUCAUU